UUAAGCGACUAAGCGUACACGGUGGAUGCCUAGGCAAUCAGAGGCGAUGAAGGACGUGCUAAUCUGCGAUAAGCGUCGGUAAGGUGAUAUGAACCGUUACAACCGACGAUUUCCGAAUGGGGAAACCCAGUGCAAUUCGUUGCACUAUCGUUUGAUGAAUACAUAGUCAAACGAAGCGAACCGGGGGAACUGAAACAUCUCAGUACCCCGAGGAAAAGAAAUCAACCGAGAUUCCCCUAGUAGCGGCGAGCGAACGGGGAGCAGCCCAGAGUCUUAAUCAGCAUUAGCAUCAGGAGAACGGUCUGGAAAGUCCGGCAGUAAAGGGUGAUAGCCCCGUAUCCGAAGGUGUUAGUGUUGUGAACUCGACGAGUAGGGCGGGACACGUGUUAUCCUGUCUGAAUAUGGGGGGACCAUCCUCCAAGGCUAAAUACUCCUGAUUGACCGAUAGUGAACCAGUACCGUGAGGGAAAGGCGAAAAGAACCCCGGCGAGGGGAGUGAAAUAGAACCUGAAACCGUGUACGUACAAGCAGUGGGAGCCUUGAUUUAUCAGGGUGACUGCGUACCUUUUGUAUAAUGGGUCAGCGACUUAUAUUCUGUAGCAAGGUUAACCGUAUAGGGGAGCCGUAGGGAAACCGAGUCUUAACUGGGCGAAUAAGUUGCAGGGUAUAGACCCGAAACCCGGUGAUCUAGCCAUGGGCAGGUUGAAGGUUGGGUAACACUAACUGGAGGACCGAACCGACUAAUGUUGAAAAAUUAGCGGAUGACUUGUGGCUGGGGGUGAAAGGCCAAUCAAACCGGGAGAUAGCUGGUUCUCCCCGAAAGCUAUUUAGGUAGCGCCUCGUGAACUCAUCUUCGGGGGUAGAGCACUGUUUCGACUAGGGGGUCAUCCCGACUUACCAACUCGAUGCAAACUACGAAUACCGAAGAAUGUUAUCACGGGAGACACACGGCGGGUGCUAACGUUCGUCGUGAAGAGGGAAACAACCCAGACCGCCAGCUAAGGUCCCAAAGUCAUAGUUAAGUGGGAAACGAAGUGGGAAGGCUCAGACAGCCAGGAUGUUGGCUUAGAAGCAGCCAUCAUUUAAAGAAAGCGUAAUAGCUCACUGGUCGAGUCGGCCUGCGCGGAAGAUGUAACGGGGCUAAACUAUGCACCGAAGCUGCGGCAGCGAUAUGUAAAUAUUGUUGGGUAGGGGAGCGUUCUGUAAGCCUGUGAAGGUGUGCUGUGAGGCAUGCUGGAGGUAUCAGAAGUGCGAAUGCUGACAUAAGUAACGAUAAUGCGGGUGAAAAACCCGCACGCCGGAAGACCAAGGGUUCCUGUCCAACGUUAAUCGGGGCAGGGUGAGUCGACCCCUAAGGCGAGGCAGAAAUGCGUAGUCGAUGGGAAACGGGUUAAUAUUCCCGUACUGGUGAUAAUUGCGAUGGGGGGACGGAGAAGGCUAGGCUAUCCGGGCGACGGUUGUCCCGGUUUAAGGAUGUAGGCAGGUGAAUUAGGCAAAUCCGGUUCACUACAUGCUGAGGUCCGAUGACGAGUCACUACGGUGAUGAAGUAGCUCAUGCCCCGCUUCCAGGAAAAGCCUCUAAGCUCUAGAUUAUCAUUAAUCGUACCCCAAACCGACACAGGUGGUCAGGUAGAGAAUACUCAGGCGCUUGAGAGAACUCGGGUGAAGGAACUAGGCAAAAUGGUGCCGUAACUUCGGGAGAAGGCACGCUGGCAUUAGGUGAAGUGAUUUACUCAUGGAGCUGAAGCCAGUCGCAGAUACCAGCUGGCUGCAACUGUUUAUUAAAAACACAGCACUGUGCAAACACGAAAGUGGACGUAUACGGUGUGACGCCUGCCCGGUGCUGGAAGGUUAAUUGAUGGGGUUAUCCGUAAGGAGAAGCUCUUGAUCGAAGCCCCAGUAAACGGCGGCCGUAACUAUAACGGUCCUAAGGUAGCGAAAUUCCUUGUCGGGUAAGUUCCGACCUGCACGAAUGGCGUAAUGAUGGCCAGGCUGUCUCCACCCGAGACUCAGUGAAAUUGAACUCGCUGUGAAGAUGCAGUGUACCCGCGGCAAGACGGAAAGACCCCGUGAACCUUUACUAUAGCUUGACACUGAACAUUGAGCCUUGAUGUGUAGGAUAGGUGGGAGGCUUCGAAGCGUGGACGCCAGUCUGCGUGGAGCCAACCUUGAAAUACCACCCUUUAAUGUUUGAUGUUCUAACGUUGCCCCAUUAUCUGGGGUGCGGACAGUGUCUGGUGGGUAGUUUGACUGGGGCGGUCUCCUCCCAAAGAGUAACGGAGGAGCACGAAGGUUGGCUAAGCAUGGUCGGACAUCAUGCGGUUAGUGCAAAGGCAUAAGCCAGCUUGACUGCGAGAGUGACGGCUCGAGCAGGUACGAAAGUAGGUCUUAGUGAUCCGGUGGUUCUGAAUGGAAGGGCCAUCGCUCAACGGAUAAAAGGUACUCCGGGGAUAACAGGCUGAUACCGCCCAAGAGUUCAUAUCGACGGCGGUGUUUGGCACCUCGAUGUCGGCUCAUCACAUCCUGGGGCUGAAGUAGGUCCCAAGGGUACGGCUGUUCGCCGUUUAAAGUGGUACGCGAGCUGGGUUUAGAACGUCGUGAGACAGUUCGGUCCCUAUCUGCCGUGGGCGUUGGAAGAUUGAAAGGGGCUGCUCCUAGUACGAGAGGACCGGAGUGGACGCACCACUGGUGUUCGGGUUGUCAUGCCAAUGGCAUUGCCCGGUAGCUAAGUGCGGAAGAGAUAACCGCUGAAAGCAUCUAAGCGGGAAACUUGCCUUGAGAUGAGUCUUCCCUGACCCUUUAAGGGUCCUAAAGGAACGUUUAAGACUAAGACGUUGAUAGGUUGGGUGUGUAAGCGUAGCGAUACGUUGAGCUAACCAAUACUAAUGAACCGUGAGGCUUAACC
RNAcentral lists this ribosomal RNA (2905 nucleotides) under Providencia rettgeri. RNAcentral describes it as "23S ribosomal RNA". It matches the Rfam family "Bacterial large subunit ribosomal RNA". Lineage: Bacteria; Pseudomonadati; Pseudomonadota; Gammaproteobacteria; Enterobacterales; Morganellaceae. The record is from RNAcentral.